AACACAGAUCUAGACAUCAGAAUGGCCUGAUGUGACAGUAUAGGCCACUCAGAACAAUAUGGCCUCUGGUGGCAGUGUGGCUCAUGGUCAUCAAUAUAAAUACUCCUGGCAACACAAAUGACAGACAUCUAUAAGACCUUCAGGAGUAAUAUGGGCUAUGGACAUAAACAGACCCCAGCUGAAGUAGAACCAUGAACCCAGACAUGGCCACCACCAGAAGCAAAGACCUGGACAUCACCAUGACCUCAGACAGCAGUGCAGGCCUUUCACAUCUACAUGGCCCCUGGUGGCAGCAUGGCCCUACGUACAUCAAGAUGGCCUCAGCUGCCUGUCCAUCUACCAAGUCUGUCCUGCUAGCAUAUUGAAAGAAACCUCAGAUGUCUAGUAAACCAUGGGUUAAACCAACAAACUCAAUCUUCUAAAAUAACACCAGCCUGCCAUUCAGGUGUAUCAGUCCUUGUGAGCCACUGGACCACUGGCAACAAUUUGGCGCCCAGACUGGAACCUGAAGAAGUUUAGGAGGACGCUGAGGGAACGCUGUUUUGUGUGGAGCUCCACGGAAGAAAAAGAAAAAGAAAAGGAUUGUAUCGGACAAUGAAGCAACAGAAAAAGAAGUUGUAGCGAGAUGGCUGCCUGAGAGAUUAGUUCGUCAACUGGACACAGAUCCUGAAUCUUCUAGUCAGUCAACACCCUUUAGCCUGACUGCAGCAGGCAUGCAUCCCCGCCCCCAACAGCACACAGGUGGCAGUUACUAAUCUUCAUUGAAGAAGCAUUCCAGUACAUAUUGUGGCUUUGGUCUGAAUUGGGAGUAAGAUACUGCUACCUGCUGAGAGGCCCCAGAGCUAUUCCGGAGACUACACCCUAUCCUGCAUGUCAUCACCUGCAGCUGGUUCCAGGCUCCAAAGAUGAAUUGGCAGGAAUGGGCUUUCCCCCUUCCUUUAUAAAGCAUGUCCGCCAUUAAAAAUUUGAACCUUGAUCAGAA
Molecule: long non-coding RNA, 982 nt
Organism: Mus musculus (house mouse)
Lineage: Eukaryota; Metazoa; Chordata; Mammalia; Rodentia; Muridae
Product: predicted gene, 32209
Exons: 6
Source: RefSeq, marked validated